CCUACGGGAGGCAGCAGUGGGGAAUAUUGGGCAAUGGGCGCAAGCCUGACCCAGCAACGCCGCGUGAAGGAAGAAGGCUUUCGGGUUGUAAACUUCUUUUGACAGGGAAGAGAAGAAGACGGUACCUGUCGAAUAAGGCACGGCUAACGAAGGGCCAGCAGCCGCGGUAAUACGUAGGUGGCAAGCGAUGUCCGGAUUUACUGGGUGUAAAGGGCGUGUAGGCGGGUUGACAAGUCAGAUGGGAAAUCCUGCGGCUUAACCGCAGAACUGCCUUUGAAACUGUUGAUCUUGAGUACGGGAGAGGCAGUCGGAAUUCCUGGUGUAGCGGUGAAAUGCGUAGAUAUUAGGCGGAACACCAGUGGCGAAGGCGGUCUGCUGGACCGCACCUGACGCUGAGGCGCGAAAGCGUGGGGAGCGAACAGGAUUAGAUACCCCAGUAGUC
This 442-nucleotide ribosomal RNA is filed under the name uncultured bacterium. RNAcentral's name for it is "partial 16S ribosomal RNA". It matches the Rfam family "Bacterial small subunit ribosomal RNA", at positions 338 to 795 of the family's 1533-position model. The record is from RNAcentral.